GACGAACGCUGGCGGCGUGCUUAACACAUGCAAGUCGAACGGAAAGGCCCUGCUUUUGUGGGGUGCUCGAGUGGCGAACGGGUGGGUAACACGUGAGUAACCUGCCCUUGACUUUGGGAUAACUUCAGGAAACUGGGGCUAAUACCGGAUAGGAGCUCCUGCUGCAUGGUGGGGGGUGGAAAGGUUCGGCGGGUGGGGAUGGACUCGCGGCUUAUCAGCUUGUUGGUGGGGUAGUGGCUUACCAAGGCUUUGACGGGUAGCCGGCCUGAGAGGGUGACCGGCCACAUUGGGACUGAGAUACGGCCCAGACUCCUACGGGAGGCAGCAGUGGGGAAUAUUGCACAAUGGGCGGAAGCCUGAUGCAGCAACGCCGCGUGCGGGAUGACGGCCUUCGGGUUGUAAACCGCUUUCGCCUGUGACGAAGCGUGAGUGACGGUAAUGGGUAAAGAAGCACCGGCUAACUACGUG
Molecule: ribosomal RNA, 468 nt
Filed under: uncultured bacterium
Lineage: Bacteria
Description: partial 16S ribosomal RNA
Rfam family: Bacterial small subunit ribosomal RNA
Source: RNAcentral